AAAUCAGCACUCGACGGGAUUUCGAAGAUCAAAGAUGCGAGCUCAGAAUUCGAAGAGGCCAAUUCAAAAAUCGAAGAGGUGCUAGCUUUCUCAAAAGCUGGGCUUGCUCAGAAACCUGUUGGAAAUGUGCCCUAAAACAAAUCAUAUGAUGAUACUUUACGGACAUUUCACAUGUUAAACUAAUCUAGUUUAAUAUCAAGGGCAAAGAUUAUUGUUUGAGCCGUCUCAUAUAAAUGUUAUACGCUUAAACGAUAAGUCCAAAGAAUAUGUGAUUGGAAGAAUGCGAUCUAAAGAAGUUAGAUUCAUGAGACCAUUCUUUCGUAGACACAUCCUAAACGUUCCUGAUCAUAGGAUUGCCGAUUGGGCAUUGACAGUCUGUUAAGAUCAGUACGUUCUGUGCCUUCUCUCAGGGAGAGUGACUAGUCUCGAGUCAUUGGUGUGUGUGACAUCAAGACAAGUAUGUAGGUGCUCAAUAAUGAAUGAGUCCACUGAACAUGAUCAACGAGGAGUUCUCAUACUCAUGUCACAUGAGAACUCAUGGUUGGGAUAAUGCAAAGUAGUCUUUUGACCUGAGGCAUCAUAGUUGUCUUGUGGUUAAGUCCUUGAUCUUUGAUUAUGUCAAAGUCACUCCAUCAGGAGGGUGUCCACGGCAUCGUCAGGGUUAAGCCACUUAGCCAUGGAGGCAAGUGAAUGCGCAACAAGGGAUCUCUAACCUUCAAACCGUUUGGGGGAGAAUACUCUAUGAUAUGAUUAAGAAUCUCUGGCUAGAGUAUGAAUGAGAUUUAGGAAGUCGUUCCAAAUCACAUUCAAGGUAAUCAUUUAAGCACACAAAUCACAUUGGAUAGUAGACAUGAAUAAACUAUCAAACCAAACAAUGUGGUCAAGAGUAUUGUAUUAGAAAAUGACCGUAUUACAUUUGUAAUCCUAAACUGAAUAGGUUCUCAACCUCUUCUGAUUAGCUUGGGUAACCAUGAUAUGCUGCUAGGUGUCACUCAUGGUUUGUGGAAGCCCUAAACGUGUAUAAUCACUAAAGGGAGAAUUGAAAGUAAGUUUCAAUUCACAAUCGAUUUGAAAUGGUUUUAAUCGCCCACUGCCUCGCUAAAAGGAACCUAAUGGAUCGUACACCGUGUAAGGUGGAGAUUGAAGAAACAAUGGAGAUGAGUAAGAAUAAUUAAAUGGUUUAAUUAUUUAUGGCAAGGAUUAAUUAAUAUGUUAAUUAAUCAAACGAAUAAGUUCGUUAAAGACCUCGGGAUAGUUUUGGGUCUCAAGGCCCAAUGGGCUUCGAACGUCAAGCCCAUUGACUUAAGUUGUAUGACAACUUAAUGACAAAUAAUUCAUAAAGGCCUUAAAAGCCCAAUGAAACCCUAUGGCCGGCCAUUUUGUUAAAGGAGUGGGUUUUGAACUUAAUUACAAGUUUGCCACUCCAAUGAAUAAAGGUAUAAAUAUGACUUUAUAGCCAAAAUUCAUUUAGGGUUUCUUUUAGAGAAUUGGAGAGAACAUAUCUCUCUCUUUUCUCUCUAAGAGGCCGGCCUCCUUGGAAGGAUUAGCUAGUAAUCUUUCUCCUCCAAGGUCACUCAUCUCUUCUUCACAUCUUACCUUGGUGUGGAGACUUAGAGGUUCUCUAUUUUGAGAACUUGGAGAAACAUAUUCUUCCAUCCAAAUCCAUGGAUCUAAGAAGCAAGGAAUGAAGGCCCUAUCCUUGGGUGAUUAGCCUUUGCUUAUGCAAAGAGGAAUCUACAAAGGUAUAAAUUUCUCAACUCACUUUGAUUUGAGUUGAGUCUUGGUUCACCAAUCUACUAGGCUUUGAAUUUCAUGGGUAAUGUUUUCUUUUUGAGUGCAUACAAGCAUGAUUCUGCCCUUUAAUUGUUAAUUGCAUGAUAUAGAUGUUAUUCAAAUGAACAUGUUUUUCACAAAAUAUCCUUCAAGUGGUAUCAGAGCCUACGUCUAGUAGUUGGUGAAUCCUUUUGGGUUUUCUAGUUCAUAGUCUUUGAUUUAAAUGUUGUAAUAUGUUACAACCUUUAUUCUUGUUUCUUUGAAUGUAAAUUUUGUUGGAAAAUUUGCCAUCUCAAAUGUUGUAGAUGUAGUUCAUAUGAGCAUGAAUAUUGGAGCUAAAAUUUGGUGCCAUGUUUUUUGGAAUUUUCGGCCAAAUCCAAAGGGUGGAUUUUUGGGUUCUUGUUUGACUUGUUAAAAGUGUUUUCAAGUAACUUUUGGAACCCUUAUGUACCCUAGUUUGGUUAUAUGUUAUUUCCCUUAAGUUUGAAUGGUUUUGGGAUGUUUUUGGGUGAAAAAUGUUCAUGGAAUUUUUUUGAGUUUUUCAUGAGUGUUCUUCAUUGUUCUUGACAUUUUUGCCAAGAACAAAAAGUUUGGUGUUUUGAUUCAAAGUUUUGGUUAAUUUCAUAAAGUCUUUGUUUUGUGCUUUAUCAAAUGUUUAAUGUGAUUGAAAUUGUGUAAGGUGAUAGAAAUGUUGAUAGAUGUGUAAGAAGUACUUAUCUUACACACACACACACCAACUUAUUUCCACCAGCAUGGUUCCACUUGCAAGGCUUUAUGAAUUUGUUGAAAAAAAAAAAAUUUCCAAAUUUUUGUGGGCUUAUCUUUUCUCUCUUUUCUCCCUAAAACCGCCCACCCUAUUAAAAUAGGGUAUUUUUGGGGCUUUUAUGCAAUUACAUAAAGUUUUGAUACUUUUGUGUAUUUGUAUUUUGACCCGAAAGUUUACGUUUUGACGUUAAGGCCUAAAAACGCUAAAGGACAAAUUGUUUUGCUCCUUUAAUGAAGUUUUUAUAUUUAUUGAAAUUUUUGGGUUCUAGUUGUAAUUACAUGAAGUUGUGGACUUUUGUGUUUUUACAAAGUGACCCCAAAAGUUUGUGUUUUUGCAAUAUGGCCCAAAAGUUGAGGUUAUUGCAUUUUGGCCCAAAUUAAGUUGAGAACAAAAUUGUUUUGUCUCUUCAAAUGAGAAUUGGAUUUUCAUUUCAUUUAGCUCCAUUUAAAUCAAUUUUAUGGAUACAAAAACCAAAUGAAAAUGUUGCAUUCAAGUUUAAUUAGUUAAAGCGUUAAUUAAUUAAAGGGUGAUUAUGAACCUAAGCCUACGAUAAUUGAGCUAUGUGAAAGGCCGUUUGAAAUUUGUUUGAACCAUGGGAAUGUGUAGAUUAGAUUUUGGUUGUAAUUUGAUUUGAUCAAAUGUUGUAAAAGAGCAUAAGCUCUUCUUUACUUUAAAGUAAUUUGUAUUAUUCAAAUGUUGUAAAGAGCAUAAGCUCAUCUUUACUUUGAAGUACUCAUUUCUUGUUUUAUUUGAUAUGCAUGAAAAUGGAGUAGAGGGUCCAACACCCCUAAGACAACACGCCUUAAUGUGAUUAAACGCGUAACUAAAAUCAAUCACCAUCCUUAGAACGAGAUUCAACACUAGGCUCGUGUUGAAUCUAAACAAAGGUUCAUAGUCAUCCUAAGGCCCUAAGGCAACUAUAUAGUCCAUCAAAUGAAUGCAAAGUUUAUGUUAGUAGUAUCAUAUACUCUUGCUUUAAAAACCGUUUUAUAAGCAUAGUGGGAGUAUUAUAUACAACUAAAACAAUCAAAUGGACCAAUAGUUGUAAUAGGACCAAAAUUGUUUAAUAAAGAUUAAAAUGAAUAUUUAUAUGUGAUGAGACCUAAAAACCCUCAACCAAACCAUUAUUAAGUUUAGAAGCGUGAGAAUGCUUUGAACACUCUUCCGUGGCCUUCCACCGUGGUAGGCUCCGAUCGUUUGUGACUCGUACACCGGCUUCACCCUAUCAUGGGGGAGUACAAAGUGAGUGCUUACACUCAGGAGGAGUCUAUAUGCAUACUUGAUGUUGUGAAAGGUAGGCAAUGAGAAUAGACAACAUCAUAUCAUUGUGAGGUUGUUCUUGAACCCCUACCCGAACUUGCAUGGUGGGAAUGACUUAACUAAGUGCAAUGGAGCCAACAUCAUAUCAUUGUGAGGUGACAUUCUCUAGAGGCCAAAUAAGAUGGGUAAUUGCAAGAGAUGCAAAUGAGUAAGUGUACUCUCUCAUUAUUAUUAAUGCUAGCCAACAUCAUAUCAUUAUGAGGUGGGCUUGGUUGUAGUGAGUCUCCCAUACCCUACUAAGAGUUACCUCCAAAACUCUCGAAUUCCAAUGAGGGAUAUGGAAUUUGCCAAAAAUAGUGGGUGGUGCUAUUUGAUUUAAAGACCCGAAUCAAAUGGCUUAAAAUCAAUCGAUUUAUAUUCGUUAUGUAUUUAUUUACCAAUAUAUUUGCAAACGCUAUCCAACACUUGACAAAUAAAAGCCAAAAGCUUUAGUUUCCGGACUUGGUACUACAAAACCAUAGAUUGUCUUUAAUGGCUUGUAAAUGUACCUAAGUAGUCUCAUCCUCACAAUCUUCCUAUUGAUAAUGUAUCAUUAGAAGAAUAUGUUAGAAAAAGUCUAUCAUAAAGAGGAUAACACUUUUAAUGUCAUAAUUCUUCAAUUACAAAUUGUUGUAUGAAGAAAUAAGAGUUGCUUUGAACAACCCUUAGUCAAUGCAAACACUAGUGCUUGUUUCUUUGUUAAAUGAACAAAGAACUUGAGAAGAAAGCACAAGGGCAUAGACACUUUCUGUGCCAUGAUUCUUCACUUACAAAUUGUUGUAUGAAGAAAUGAGAGUUGCCUUGAACAACUCUUGAAAGUUUGUAAUUAUGUUUAGAACAUAAUGGUUGGUUGACAAAAAUAGUCCAUCAACAUGGACUUAUGAUGAUUUUGAAUCAUUGAGUGUUGAAGUGUUAAACCACUUAACGAGACGGAAACUAGGCUAGGACUUCACCUUUAUGUCCCUAUCCUAAUGGUUCACUAAGUUUAUUGUAAACUAUGUAGUGAACAAUAACCACAUACUCUCCAAAUCGUUUGAUGUGUAUAACACAAUUGAAAUAAGUUUCAAGAGAGAUAGUGGGAGUUUAAGGACCAUGACUAUUGUAGUCAAAGGAGAAGUCAAAUGAAGAAAUCGAAAUAACUCCAAGGGAACAAACUUUCUUUAUGAAAGGAUGGACAUUGGAAGGGGUAUUUGCAAGAAAAGUCUUGCAAGUGUCAAGAACACACCUUUCGAAGGUGUUGUAAAUUGUUCUUGAUAGUUCAAAACAGUUGGUUCUUCUACUUGAAUGCUUGAUUCCGUAUUAGUAACUAUGUUUUACAAUCAUUGUAAAAGAGUGACUAAUAAGAAGUAGAAGAUAUAUGAGAGAAGAAAAAGGUGCUUCACAUUCGGAACGUGAAUAAAAUAAAGAUCUCUGCGAAAGCAGAUAGUACUUACUUCCUUAUAUGAACUACCAAAGAAAUUGGAAAACCCAAAGAUUGUCUUUACAUUCCAAUUUUAAGGAACUUAAUUCCGUCACUAUAGUAGAGAUGGAUGAAUGUUUUGUUUGACAAAACAUUGUUCUUUAUUAAUCAAUGAUUCGAUUAUAGUAAUCUAAUUGAUUGUCUCUAUAGUAGAGAUGAUAUGGUAUUGUUAACUGUUUAGAAUAUAACGAUGCUUAAAACCCAAAAGGUUGCAAGGUAGUGACUAAUCCCAACUAAAGUUGUGAUACCUCUAAAACAUAAAUUACGAGUUGGUCAAAGAUGGAUGCUUUGGAUCGUUAGAUCUGGAUCCAAUACCUUCUUAUUAAAAUUGUAUAGAGGCGAAAUGUUCGAAUCUUUAUUCUUUUGGAAAGAAGAAAGAAUCACAAAGUUGUUGAGGUUAAUUCACUUAGAUGUUAGUGGCACUUGUCCACAACAUAAUACUACUCAUGUUGUAUGACAUUCACCGAAGAUCGCUCUCGGUUGGACUAUAGUUUAUUUUGAAUAAACACAAGUCCGAAUACUUUGCAAAAGGUUUCAAAGAAUUCAAGAAAUGUAAGUUGAUGAGUAAGACGUCUAAAGUAUUUGCCUCCUUAGAUUUGAUCCAAGGAAAGAUAACACUUUAGAACAGCUCCUUGAAAAAUAUCAAGGAAAGAAGCAUCAAAAGAUAAUGGAUUUCUCCAUUAGGAGAAGAAUGAACUUGAAUAAGAUUUAGUUCGUUGGAUGUUAUCAAUUACCCAUAUAUAGGAUAUAUGCUUCUAAGACAAUAUGAUUGUCAAUUAGAAGAUCUUCCAAAAUUUUCAUGACUCCAUAAGAUGUAGUUGGAAAGAAAGACAAAUCUUAAUCAUGUUAAGAUUUGGGGUUGUGUGCUAAUAAGCAAUAUUUGUCUGAGAAUUAUCUUAUGGGUAUCCUUAAAUUAACAUUUGGAUAUCACUUCUAUAAACCAACUAACAAAUGUUGUUUGUUGGGUAGUUCAUUGUAAUCCUACACUAGGAUUUGCCCAAGAUAGAGCAAAUGAACGAGGGAUAGAACUCAAAGAAUGGUUCUUUAAGAAACAAGAUAGUGAUCAACAAAUAUAACAACCUAGUUCCUAUACCACAAGCUCCAAGGUAGUCGAGAAGGAUUUAUAAAUCGUCUCAGUUGAAUGGUUUGAACUUUAUGACUAUGUCAUAGAGUUACACCUCUUAAUUCGAAAGAAAUAAGAAUGAAAAUCCUUAUGACUACAUUGAGUGUAUAUACGAUAUAUACUCAAGGAAAUGGUAAAGUACCAUUUGACCCGAAAUAAUGAAACCUUAAAUAGCUAAUUGGUAGCUUAAGGUGACUACAAUCAAAGAGAAUGGUUGACUUUGAAGAAACCAUCUUUGACGUAGUCUUGUUUUCAAUUAAUUCGAAGAUUGCUAGCUACAACUAAAUGGUGAUUCAAUGUUUGGACAUAAUAUAGGUUUCCGAAACCAUUAUUAAGAUAGUCUUGAUAAUAUAUGUCUAAAACUAUGAAUCACAAGACAUGUAAGUUGUAGAGAUCCAUCCAUCAUGGAUCUUAGCAAGCUAGUGGGAGCUAUAAGCGUCUUAUGAGAGAAAGAUCAAAUCGUUUGAUUUCUCAUAAAGAUGUGAUGAAUCUUUUGUUUACUAGGUUUACAAAAGAUUAGUGGGAGUUAAUCAAAUUCCUAAAUUUGAAUAUAUAUAUAUGAUAUAUUAAUUUUGGAAAUGAAAAGAAUACUUCUUCGUUAAAGUUAUGACUUUAAACAUUCUAUAACGAUAGAAUGUAUAUGGGAGAUAUAGUCUAAAUACAUGGGAUAGAAAUCUAUAGUGAUAUAUUUCAAGAUAUAAUUUGAUUAUAUCAAUCCCUAAUAAUAGACAAGAGAUGCUAGGAAGUUUCUCAUAUGAUGAUAAACUUCAAUUAGAAGGACGACUCUAGUGAGAUUAGCAAGCUGCCCUUCUCAAAGGGAACGUACCCUUUGACUCCCAAAGAAAUAAUGCAUAAAUAGAAUCCUUUAUGCAUAUGCAGAAAGGUGAUUUAUGUAUUUCAUAUUGUAUGAAAAACAUUGAUAUGAGUUGUACCUAGAAAGGUACAAGACAAUAUCAGUGCAAGCUCAGGAUCAGAACCAUGGCAACUGUCAAGUGAGUCCUUGAGUAUUUAAGAAAUACUCAAGGAGAGAUUCCUCAAAGAAUGAGGAAGAAUUAGAGUAACGUAAUGGAAGCGUAAAUGUAUUAGAUUAUGAAUCUAAUCCAUCAUUGGAUGUUUCUUCAUUAUGAAUGAAGAGAUAAUCAGAUAUCUCUUUAUUAUGACUAAAAGAGAUAUUUGGAUGGAAACAUUAAAAGUAAUGACUUUAGUGUGUUCCAUAGUGAAUGCAAAAUAUAUUGCCAUAUAGAAGCUUACAACAAUGUUGUUUAGAUGGGAAAGUUCAUUUAUGAACUCUCUAUUCGGUUCCAACCAGAAAGUGUCUCUAGUGUACUGACACAACGACACUAAUGGGGCGAUAGCUCAAGCCAGGGAAUCAAGGUCUCAUCACGAUCCGAACUCAAAUGAGAGACUAAACCACAUGAUUGAGAAUCAUGUAUAAUGGUGACGUCGUUAUUCUCAAGGUUGCUUCUAUAGAUAAGAUAUAGAUAUCCAUUGUCUAGGCCUACUACUCAACCAUUUAUGAAAUGACUACAGAAGAGGUAUCAUCAUUGAUGACCAAGCUGAUUGGCUCUAGUGCAAGUGGGAGAUUGUUGGAAAUGUGCCCUAAAACCAAUCAUAUGAUGAUACUUUACGGACAUUUCACAUGUUAAACUAAUCUAGUUUAAUAUCAAGGGCAAAGAUUAUUGUUUGAGCUGUCUCAUAUAAAUGUUAUACGCUUAAACGAUAAGUCCAAGGAAUAUGUGAUUGGGAGAAUGCGAUCUAAAGAAGUUAGAUUCAUGAGACCAUUCUUUCAUAGACACACCUAAACGUUCCUGAUCAUAAGAUUGCCAAUUGGGCAUUGACAGUCCGUUAAGAUCAGUACGUGAUGUGUCUUCUCUCAGGGAGAGUGACUAGUCUCGAGUCAUUGGUGUGUGUGACAUCAAGACAAGCAUGUAGGUGCUCAAUAAUGAAUGAGUCCACUGAACACGAUCAACGGGAGUUCUCAUACUCAUGUCACAUGAGAACUCAUGGUUGGGAUAAUGCAAAGUAGUC
RNAcentral lists this long non-coding RNA (8448 nucleotides) under Malus domestica (apple). RNAcentral's name for it is "long non-coding RNA (MDOM_LNC021137)". The record is from RNAcentral. Lineage: Eukaryota; Viridiplantae; Streptophyta; Magnoliopsida; Rosales; Rosaceae.